AGUGAUAUAAAAAAAUUAAAAGAAUAGAUAUAUUUAUAUACAUUUUUUAAAAUAUGUAACUUUCAUUGAAAAUAGAGGAAACAUUACAAAGUUACUAGAUUUGAGAUACUAGAACCUUAUUUCUUAGUGGGAUGUAUGCUGGAGGAAAUAGAGUACCGGAGUUGAGCGGGGUUAUAAAUUUUGACCAUUUUACCAGUCUUGAAAAUGCACAACUUAUAAGUUUAGGGGUAUUUUGGUAAUUUACCACAUGAGGGUUUUGGUGGCUGCCUAAAAACUUGACACCUGCCCAUUCUUUUUUCAACAAGGAUUAAUUAAUUUAAUCCUUAAUUCAUUUAGAGAAAAAUCAAGAAAAAAGCCAAAAAAAUAAAACAACCUCUCUUUUCCUUCUCUCUCUCUUCGAACCAGCCAAAAGCAAGGAGGAUGAGCUACUAAAUUCUGUAUUUUCCGCAAGGAUUCAAGUUGAAAUCAAGUGUUCUUGAAGCUAAGGUAAAGGAAAAGCGAAAGCUGAACAUGAGUGAGCCUGAGCUGGGAUGAGGUUGUACAUAUCAUGGCGGGGCGACCUGGAGUGUUCGGUCUCGGGACAUUUGGGGUUGUUAUUUUGUAAUCGCUGUGCGACCUGACUAUUGUAUUUUGAAUAUUUUGUAUAAAAGUUUAGAAACGGGAUCCCGGAACUUGUAAAUGAAUAUAUAAAGUUUAUUAUUUAAUAUAAAAGUUUUAAUUUGAUACGA
This is a long non-coding RNA of Cannabis sativa, 728 nucleotides long. RefSeq lists it as uncharacterized. NCBI's taxonomy places the organism in Eukaryota, Viridiplantae, Streptophyta, Magnoliopsida, Rosales, Cannabaceae. The record is from RefSeq and is a predicted model, not a curated record. The transcript has 2 exons.